CUGCGCAAGCAAUUCCUGCCAUCCUCCCACUGCAGUCUAUUCAUCGGGACCUCAGAUUUGACAGGCUUAUUUCAGCAAUAUGUGGACUUAAGAGAGACUUUCUCAACCAGAGACACCAUUGUUCCUAGUUCAUCUCAGAAAAGCAGAAUAUCUGCCAUACAUCUCCUGUUCCGUGGCUGCUUGUCUUCAGAAAUAACAGACCUGUGAAAGAAGAGGCAGGAAAGAGACUGCUACUCCCAUCACCUCACAUGGUGUGUACAGCCAGACACCUAAGUGCAGACGGGGUUAAAUGGAUUGCCAGCUUUGGACUUGGGAAGGAAUUUUGCUCAAGGGUGUAGCGGCCAGGGACUGCUGGGUCUGGGAGUUUUUCUGGCUCUGUUAAGGUCAUGAAGAUGUGUACUCCACAGCACCGUGCUCCUGCGGUUGCUGGAGGGAAGGUGCCGGUGACCCCGGCUGCUCCUUGUCCCUGCUGCCAAGGCUGGGCUCAGGCCUCUGGGACGCUGCUUUCUCUGAGCUGCCUUUGCCUCAUGGAAAUCUCCAGUGUGUGUAAGAUGAUACGCAUGAGAGCAUUAGUGUGGGCACAUGAUUGCUGGCACCUAUUGAUAUUAAUCAGCAAACAAGCUCACGUACCAAAUGAACUCCAGUGACAGCUUCCUGGGGAAGGAAUAGCCAGUCUCACCGGGCAAAGGAAAUCUGCUGCUUCUCCUGUAGCUUCUCCAGGAUAUUUCCCUAAUGUAGAGUUUAAAAGCACUUGAUCCCUGGUCAAAGGUCUGGUCUUGUCACUAAAGCUGCAGCCCCAAAUGUCUGAAAGCAAAUGGCCCACAUCUUGCAUAAAAUCCUAGGCGGAGCAAGCAAGUGCCUGUAAAGUAAGAUCUAUUUAAUUGUGUCUUGUCAUUGCAACAAUAUUUAUGCAGAGGCAGUGUUAUAUUUUGAUACAUUCAUCAAGGAAAAAAAAAGAGGUGUUUUUUCCAGGUUUUUCCAGCUGAAUGACUAAUCACAGAAAUCCGUGGUUCGUUUCGGAUACAGGUAACCAUAGCUACUUUUGUUGCCUAGCGACUCCUUCUUCGUACAGCUGAGAGUGGUCCUGAUCCUGCCACCUGCUGCACAGCCAUAUUCGGCUGUCAUACGGCUGCAGCCCUGCAGCAGCUCCCCGUGACACAGAACAAGUGGUGUGGGGCUUAUCCUGCAACCCAAGGGAUUAGAAUUGGAGCUGGUGCUGUUAUAGGAAGACAAAGAGGGCUGCCCAGCACAAGGGAGGGGACCAAAUGCUGGUCUCCCUUAUACAUAAACCCAGCUGUGGCGUAAGGCAGGAUCUGACUCGGUGUCCUCAGUUGUGCGACAAUACAUCUGAGACACAAAUAUAUACGUAUAUUAAAUCAUACCUUCUCCAUUAGUUUGCAUUAAAGACCAUUUGGGGCAGAAUUUAAGGGUAGUGAUUAGUUUCUCAGCCCAGACACAGAACAACUAGUAAUAAACCAAGGGUCUGGCUCCUUCACUGGGUGAAAAGCAGCACUGGUUCUUUUAA
Molecule: long non-coding RNA, 1525 nt
Organism: Cygnus olor (mute swan)
Lineage: Eukaryota; Metazoa; Chordata; Aves; Anseriformes; Anatidae
Exons: 3
Source: RefSeq, a predicted model, not a curated record